This 1042-nucleotide ribosomal RNA is filed under the name uncultured soil eukaryote. RNAcentral describes it as "SSU rRNA". It matches the Rfam family "Eukaryotic small subunit ribosomal RNA", at positions 752 to 1691 of the family's 1831-position model. The record is from RNAcentral.
UUACUUUGAAUAAAUUAGAGUGAUUAAAACAGGUAAUAAUUAUUGCCUGAAUAUAUUAGCAUGGUAUAAAGAUUUAAGAAUAUUAAUGGUAUUUUACAAUUUGUAAAAAUAUAAACCAUUAUAUUCUAAUUAAAAUAGGAACUGACGGGGCUUUUCAUAUUCAAAGGGUAGGGGUGAAAUCCAAUGAUCCUUUGAAGAUGACCAAUAGCGAAAGCAAUUAGCCAGGAAGUUUCUAUUAAUCAAGAACGAAAGUUAGGGGAUCGAAGAUGAUUAGAUACCGUCGUAGUCCUAACCUUAAAUUAUGUGGACUUUGUUUUCAAAGAUAUAAAUUUAAAAAUCAUCUUUGAGAGUAAUAAAAGAAAUUUUAAGUAUUUACAUUCUUGGGAGAGUAUAGUCGCAAGACUGAAAUUUAAAGGAAUUGAUGGCAGGGCACCACCAGGAGUGGAGUAUGCGGUUUAAUUUGACUCAACACAGGGAAACUUACUAGAACCAGACUAAAAAAAGAUAGACAAGAAUAAAGACUUUUCUUGAUUUUUAGAAUGGUGGUGCAUGGCCGUUUUUAGUUCGUGGAGUGAUUUGUCUGGUUAAUUCCGAUAACGAACGAGACCUAAACUCUUAAAUAGUUUAAUUUGUUUUAAAAUAAACAAAUUAUGAUUAUAAUUUAAAAAGACCUAACUCUUUUUUAUUAUUUAAUAAUUUAAAUUUAUUAAAACAAAAAUAAAAAGACUUCUUAGGAGGAUUAUUCAUAAUUAAAUUCAAAUGAAUUUAAAAGUUAGGCAAAAACAGGUCUGUGAUGCCCUUAGAUGCUCUAGGCCACACGCGUAUUACAAUGAUAUAAUCAAGGAGUCUAAUAUCAUUUUAAAUUUAAAAAAAUAAAAUCACUCUAAAAGACAAAGAUAAUCUAUAUAAACUAUAUCAUAAUAGGGAUAGAAUAUUGAAAUUAUUAUUCUUAAACGAGGAAUUCCUAGUAACUAUAAGUUAAAAACUUAUAAUGAUUAUGUCCCUGCCCUGUAUACACACCGCCCGUCGCUCUUACCGAUGA